This 545-nucleotide ribosomal RNA is filed under the name Bifidobacterium breve. RNAcentral describes it as "bacterial SSU rRNA". It matches the Rfam family "Bacterial small subunit ribosomal RNA", at positions 158 to 711 of the family's 1533-position model. Lineage: Bacteria; Bacillati; Actinomycetota; Actinomycetes; Bifidobacteriales; Bifidobacteriaceae. The record is from RNAcentral.
GGGUGGUAAUGCCGGAUGCUCCAGUUGAUCGCAUGGUCUUCUGGGAAAGCCUUUGCGGCAUGGGAUGGGGUCGCGUCCUAUCAGCUUGAUGGCGGGGUAACGGCCCACCAUGGCUUCGACGGGUAGCCGGCCUGAGAGGGCGACCGGCCACAUUGGGACUGAGAUACGGCCCAGACUCCUACGGGAGGCAGCAGUGGGGAAUAUUGCACAAUGGGCGCAAGCCUGAUGCAGCGACGCCGCGUGAGGGAUGGAGGCCUUCGGGUUGUAAACCUCUUUUGUUAGGGAGCAAGGCAUUUUGUGUUGAGUGUACCUUUCGAAUAAGCACCGGCUAACUACGUGCCAGCAGCCGCGGUAAUACGUAGGGUGCAAGCGUUAUCCGGAAUUAUUGGGCGUAAAGGGCUCGUAGGCGGUUCGUCGCGUCCGGUGUGAAAGUCCAUCGCUUAACGGUGGAUCCGCGCCGGGUACGGGCGGGCUUGAGUGCGGUAGGGGAGACUGGAAUUCCCGGUGUAACGGUGGAAUGUGUAGAUAUCGGAAAAAAAACACCA